AUUGAACGCUGGCGGCAUGCCUUACACAUGCAAGUCGAACGGCAGCACAGUUACUUCUACCUGUUGCCGGUUGCCGGUCGCGUACGUAUUACAUCUGCACCUGUCUCUUCUUUUUGGUUAGCGCUACCGUAGCCGAACUUAUACUACAUACGCUUUCCACCUGCGAGUGAGAGCCGUUGAUCCUCCGCCCUUUCGCGUUUGCCUGUACCUGUUUCGGAUUAGCUAGUUGGCGGGGUAAAGGCCUACCAAGGCGACGAUCAGUAGCUGGUCUGAGAGGACGACCAGCCACACUGGGACUGAGACACGGCCCAGACUCCUACGGGAGGCAGCAGUGGGGAAUUUUGGACAAUGGGCGAAAGCCUGAUCCAGCAAAGCCGCGUGUGUGAAGAAGGCCUUCGGGUUGUAAAGCACUUUUGUCCGGAAAGAAAUCCUGGGCGCUAAUACAGUCGGGGGAUGACGGUACCGGAAGAAUAAGCAUCGGCUAACUACGUG
Molecule: ribosomal RNA, 492 nt
Filed under: uncultured bacterium
Lineage: Bacteria
Description: partial 16S ribosomal RNA
Rfam family: Bacterial small subunit ribosomal RNA
Source: RNAcentral